This is a long non-coding RNA of Peromyscus maniculatus bairdii (prairie deer mouse), 1222 nucleotides long. RefSeq lists it as uncharacterized. NCBI's taxonomy places the organism in Eukaryota, Metazoa, Chordata, Mammalia, Rodentia, Cricetidae. The record is from RefSeq and is a predicted model, not a curated record.
GAGUUUUAGGUGUAUGGUAAAAUGGGCCUUGUAUGAGCUGAGGGGCAACCUCACAGAAGUUGGGCAAAGCAAGAGAUGGAGAAUGGGGGUCAAAUUGGUCUGAGGAGAUGCUGAGGAUAAGUAGUUUUGUAUAGACAACCCCUAUGUCUGAACCAUCAUCUUCCAUCCUGUCAUGAAUUCUUCCAGGAUCACCCGGAGCAUUCACAGGGAUUCCUUAAUCCAGACCUAGUAAUCUAGGAUCUGACACCAAGCAUGGCUCAAAGUGGCUCUUGGUGCCAAUUUGUAGUUUCCUACUGAGGUCCUUGGGACUCGGUGUGAUUCCUGAUUUUGACCCCAAAUUUCCAGCCAUAUGAACCUCACAUGUCAUCUUUCAGAGCCUUAUAAGGGUCACAAGGCUUGACAGGAGUAUAUGGUGCUUCAAAAAAACAGGACCAUAUCUUGAGUUCUGAAGCCCAUGGACAUGACUAUUUUUUAAAGAAAGGUCUGUACAGAUGUGAUUGAGUCAGACUCUUGGGUGAAUCAUCUUUCAUCAACCAGGUGGGCUCUAAACCCAAUGACUGAUGACUUCUUCAGAGGGAAGCAGAGACAAGGAGAUUUCCCCCCCCCACCUGUUUACAAUGUUUAAAGAGACUGCCCAUCACAGGGAGCACAAUGCGCAGUUCUCCAUAACUCCACCCAAGUUUCCAGAGGCCCAGCCUGUGAUCAGCUAUCCAGACUUCUCAGCCCAUCCUAUCAGCUUCUGAUGUCCACAUGCUUUGCAGUUUUGUUCCACUCAUCCACAGGAUCACAGGUGUCCCAAGCUGCUUUCCCCAAACCCCUGCUAGGAUCAUUUGCAUCAGGAUGCCAGUACCACAGAAAAAGAGGAAAUCUGAGGAUGGAGUUCUGGGCACCCUCGGGUCUGGCAGCUGAGAGGUCUCAGCUCAGACUUCUUGCAGGUUCUAAUGGGGCAAAGGAGGUCUAUGUGGAGAGUCCUGGUGGUUGGUAGGCAACUUGAUGGUUCAUAUCAAAGGUAGGAACUGAGGCCAAUUCAUGAUCUAUUGCACUGUAAAGGAUCCUGGCAUUUGGUGGGGAAGCAGAUGAUGGCUUAGCAGGAAGGACAGAAGAAGUUAUGGGAUCUGGAGAGCUGAAGGAAGAGAGCCUUCUCCUGGCCUCCUUGGGCACCUGCACAUACAAACAAGCAAGCACAUAUACAUGAAAUAAAAAUAAAUACAUUUUUAAGGGA